Molecule: ribosomal RNA, 1693 nt
Filed under: Triticum aestivum (bread wheat)
Lineage: Eukaryota; Viridiplantae; Streptophyta; Magnoliopsida; Poales; Poaceae
Description: partial small subunit ribosomal RNA
Source: RNAcentral
CGACGGGAGAAAGGGAGGGUAGUGCCAAAAAUUCUGGCUAAAUUAGGUCUUGUUCCCCCUUUCCUCAAUCCUUCGCCGCCGCCAGAGAAAAUCCCCCUCUCUCUCCCCAAUCUUCCUCUCCCACAUCACCAUGGCCCGCCGCGCGCCACCACCCCGCCGUGCCCCUACCGGCCCUGCUCCACCGCGCCCUACCAGCCCUGCUCCGCCGCGUCGCCUCUUCUUCCCCUUCUCUACCACAUCGGUGACCCAAUCGGACCAUCCGGCGGUGGGCACGAUGUCCUCACGCGGAUCUGACUGCCGCCACUGUCGCCGCCUCCAUGCCACCUCGAGCUGCUCCUUGAUGCAGUUGUCCCCGACGAGCACCACCCCCACACGACUGUCGCUGACGAGCUACUCCCCGACGGCCACAUCCUCUCCUACACCGCGGGUACUACGGCGAUGACAAGGGCAUCCACUUACCUGCUAGAUCAAGAUCGCGUCCACCACCUUGACUUCACUCCGAAGGUUCUCUCCCUGUCUUUUGCUCUCUUGUUUAGGUAGUUGUAUAUGCUCUAAUGUGUUCGGUGUUCAGAUCUCACAAGCGAUGCUCAUCUUUGUGAUUUGCUUGUUAAGAAAUUAUACUGCUUCUUUCGGCUAGCUUGCCGUUGUUGCAGAAUAUCAGUUUGCCCUUUGCAACAUCCGCUCCUGCAGGUCUACUAGGUACCAAGGAAUGUUUAAAGACUACAUUGGUGUUUUCUAGCUUGGAGAAGCAACAUCAACUUGGGAUGCAGAUUCACCACUAUAUGUGCAUGCAUCUCAUAGGGGGAGAGAUCUUGUAUGGAUGUAAGACCAUUUUUCUUCUGUUAUAGAUUCUAGAGUGAUGCUCUGCUUAAAUUCGUAUCCAUGCAUAAAGUCAACAUCCAAUGAAAUAUGAGCAAAUUAUUUUAUCUCUAUUACUGUAAUUGUGAGCUAUGACAACCAUAUAAAUAGAUUUAGUAUAUUUUGAUUGCAUAGUUUCUUUUCUGCUAUUUGAAAUAUGAAUGUGUAUCUUUAAUCAUGACUGAAUAUGCAUUUUUAAGCAUGACUAGAACUGCGCUGAACAUGCAUGCUUAAUCGUGUAUUUUUUUCUGCAGCUAAAAUUCAGCUGAAGCUUUACAGAACUAGGGGAACACUAAUCCAUAGAGCUAUCAUUUCCUUUGCUUUGUUUUUCCUGUAGAAUAGAUUAAGCAUAAUCUGAGUGGUGUAUAUGCAACACAUUUCUUAAUGGCCAUGCAUGCAAUUAUAAUCUAUUUCUGUCAAGACUGGAAACCUCGAGACGGUGAUCAAAGAUUUGGUUGAAGGAAUCAGCAAACAGAUGUUUUAGAGCAUCAUGUUGUGAGCUCUGAUGUUCCUCUCAAGACUUGGAUGGGCAACCUGAUGCAAGUUCUCAAGGGAUAUUUGGAGCAUGUACUUCUCAAGGCGAUGUGAUGCAUGUGUAGUUAAUUAACAGGUUGAUUGGAAGUGUUUUGAUCUAGCAACACUAGCUGAUAUGUGGUCUUGUCUAUAGCAAAUUCUAGAUUCAAAUUGCAGUGCUUAGACCAUUUUGCAACUUAAUCUAGCUUUUUUGGAUCGACGGGUGGUAUGAAUAUGUUGUAUGAUAAUGAAUAUUCAGUCAUCCAUGAAUUAUUUGAAUUAUAGCCGAUAUAUAUAUAUCCAAAUUUGGUGUAUUGUUGCU